GGAAACUGAGUGGCGAACGGGUGAGUAACACGUGGGUGACCUACCUUCGAGUGGGGGAUAACGUCCCGAAAGGGACGCUAAUACCGCAUGACAUCCUGCCUUUGAAAAGGCGGAGAUCAAAGCCGGGGAUCGCAAGACCCGGCGCUUGAUGAGGGGCCCGCGUCCGAUUAGCUAGUUGGUGAGGUAAUGGCCCACCAAGGCAACGAUCGGUAUCCGGCCUGAGAGGGCGGACGGACACACUGGGACUGAGACACGGCCCAGACUCCUACGGGAGGCAGCAGUGGGGAAUUGUUCGCAAUGGGCGCAAGCCUGACGACGCAAUGCCGCGUGGAGGAUGAAGGUCUUCGGAUUGUAAACUCCUGUUGCCAGGGACGAAUGGCUUCGACCUAAUACGUCGAAGUAUGACGGUACCUGGUGAGGAAGCCCCGGCUAACUCUGUGCCAGCAGCCGCGGUAAUACAGAGGGGGCGAGCGUUGUUCGGAAUUACUGGGCGUAAAGGGCGCGUAGGCGGCCCGCUAAGUCGAACGUGAAAUCCCCAGGCUCAACCUGGGAACUGCGUCCGAUACUGGCAGGCUUGAAUCCGGGAGAGGGAUGUGGAAUUCCAGGUGUAGCGGUGAAAUGCGUAGAUAUCUGGAGGAACA
This 641-nucleotide ribosomal RNA is filed under the name uncultured bacterium. RNAcentral's name for it is "bacterial SSU rRNA". It matches the Rfam family "Bacterial small subunit ribosomal RNA", at positions 86 to 708 of the family's 1533-position model. The record is from RNAcentral.